This 72-nucleotide transfer RNA is filed under the name Camelus bactrianus (Bactrian camel). It matches the Rfam family "tRNA". From Rfam's summary of the family: Transfer RNA (tRNA) molecules are approximately 80 nucleotides in length. Their secondary structure includes four short double-helical elements and three loops (D, anti-codon, and T loops). The record is from Rfam by way of RNAcentral. RNAcentral also lists the same sequence under 2 other names. Lineage: Eukaryota; Metazoa; Chordata; Mammalia; Artiodactyla; Camelidae.
GGGGGUAUAGCUCAGUGGUAGAGCAUGUGCUUAGCAUGCAUGAGGUACUGGGUUCAAUGUUCAGUACCUCCA